AUGGAAGCUUUGAAGCCUCUUACUCUUAAGAAUAAGAAACAAGUAGCUGUACCCAAUGCCAACUUGUUUCCUGAGCCACAUGCAUCUUGGGUUAGUAAAGGAAAGUUUGCAGUUGCAGCCGUCACUCUAGAUGAUUAUCUUCCGAUGCGAAGUACUGAAGUGAAAAAUCGGACAUCAACAGAUGGAAUCAAAAGUCUCAGACUAAUCACAGCGGUCAAAACCCCCUAUUUGCCAGAUGGAAGAUUUGAUCUUGAAGCAUACGAUUCUCUGAUAAACACACAAAUAAAUGGUGGUGCGGAAGGUGUAAUAGUUGGAGGAACAACAGGAGAAGGUCACCUUAUGAGCUGGGAUGAGCACAUCAUGCUCAUCGGGCAUACUGUUAACUGCUUUGGAUCCAACAUUAAAGUGAUAGGUAACACGGGAAGUAACUCAACCAGAGAAGCUGUUCACGCUACAGAGCAGGGAUUUGCUGUUGGCAUGCAUGCAGCUCUCCAUGUCAAUCCUUACUACGGGAAGACCUCAACUGAAGGCUUGAUCUCUCAUUUCAAGGAAGUCCUCCCAAUGGGCCCAACAAUCAUUUACAAUGUGCCAUCCAGGACCAGUCAAGACAUACCUCCUCCAGUCAUUGAGGCGCUUUCAUGUUACUCAAACAUGGCAGGAGUUAAAGAAUGCGUUGGGCAUGAGCGGGUUAAGUGCUACACUGACAAAGGCAUAACAAUAUGGAGCGGUAAUGAUGAUGAAUGCCAUGACUCAAGGUGGAAGUACGGCGCUACUGGAGUCAUUUCUGUGGCGAGCAAUCUUGUUCCCGGUCUCAUGCACAGCCUCAUGUUUGAAGGGGAGAAUGCGGCGCUAAAUGAGAAGCUGCUGCCUCUGAUGAAAUGGCUGUUCUGCGAGCCUAACCCGAUCGGUCUCAACACCGCCCUGGCUCAGCUCGGUGUAGUGAGGCCUGUUUUCAGGUUGCCAUACACUCCCCUCCCUCUUGAAAAGAGGGUUGAGUUUGUCCGGAUUGUCGAAGCCAUUGGACGGGAGAACUUUGUGGGACAGAAGGAGGCCCGGGUUCUGGAUGACGAUGAUUUUGUGUUGAUCAGCAGGUAUUGA
Molecule: ribosomal RNA, 1098 nt
Filed under: Triticum aestivum (bread wheat)
Lineage: Eukaryota; Viridiplantae; Streptophyta; Magnoliopsida; Poales; Poaceae
Description: partial small subunit ribosomal RNA
Source: RNAcentral